RNAcentral lists this ribosomal RNA (409 nucleotides) under Fusobacteriota bacterium. Its description in RNAcentral is "Fusobacteria bacterium partial 16S ribosomal RNA". It matches the Rfam family "Bacterial small subunit ribosomal RNA", at positions 355 to 776 of the family's 1533-position model. The record is from RNAcentral. Lineage: Bacteria; Fusobacteriati; Fusobacteriota.
UGGGGAAUAUUGCACAAUGGAGGGAACUCUGAUGCAGCAACGCCGCGUGCGGGAUGACGGCCUUCGGGUUGUAAACCGCUUUCAGCCAUGACGAAGCUUUUGUGACGGUAGUGGUAGAAGAAGCACCGGCUAACUACGUGCCAGCAGCCGCGGUGAUACGUAGGGUGCGAGCGUUGUCCGGAAUUAUUGGGCGUAAAGAGCUUGUAGGCGGUUUGUCGCGUCGAAAGUGUAAACUCAGUGCUUAACGCUGAGCCUGCUUUCGAUACGGGCUGACUAGAGGAGGGUAGGGGGGAAUGGAAUUCCCGGUGGAGCGGUGGAAUGCGCUGAUAUCGGGAGGAACACCAGUGGCGAAGGCGGUUCUCUGGACCUUUCCUGACGCUGAGAAGCGAAAGCGUGGGUAGCAAACAGG